This 26-nucleotide small RNA is filed under the name Bombyx mori (domestic silkworm). RNAcentral describes it as "ovarian small RNA-6612". Lineage: Eukaryota; Metazoa; Arthropoda; Insecta; Lepidoptera; Bombycidae. The record is from RNAcentral.
UAUCUGACAAUAGAUGGCGUUGCACU